GACGAACGCUGGCGGCGUGCUUAACACAUGCAAGUCGAACGGAAAGGCCCUGCUUUUGUGGGGUGCUCGAGUGGCGAACGGGUGAGUAACACGUGAGUAACCUGCCCUUGACUUUGGGAUAACUUCAGGAAACUGGGGCUAAUACCGGAUAGGAGCUCCUGCUGCAUGGUGGGGGUUGGAAAGUUUCGGCGGUUGGGGAUGGACUCGCGGCUUAUCAGCUUGUUGGUGGGGUAGUGGCUUACCAAGGCUUUGACGGGUAGCCGGCCUGAGAGGGUGACCGGCCACAUUGGGACUGAGGUACGGCGCAGACUACUACGGGAGGCAGCAGUGGGGAAUAUUGCACAAUGGGCGGAAGCCUGAUGCAGCAACGCCGCGUGCUGGAUGACGGCCGUCGGGUUGUAGUCCGCUUUCGCCUGUGACGAAGCGUGAGUGACGGUAAUGGGUAAAGAAGCACCGGCUAACUACGUG
RNAcentral lists this ribosomal RNA (468 nucleotides) under uncultured bacterium. RNAcentral describes it as "partial 16S ribosomal RNA". It matches the Rfam family "Bacterial small subunit ribosomal RNA", at positions 28 to 507 of the family's 1533-position model. The record is from RNAcentral.